UGCCCCCUGGCCCAGUUGGUUAAGGCGCACGACUGUUAAUUCAAGUCCGCAAUCGUGAGAUCGAGAGUUCGAGCCUCUCGGGGGCAG
Molecule: non-coding RNA, 87 nt
Organism: Mycena leptocephala
Lineage: Eukaryota; Fungi; Basidiomycota; Agaricomycetes; Agaricales; Mycenaceae
Source: the annotation of a GenBank genome assembly